Molecule: ribosomal RNA, 465 nt
Filed under: Vreelandella stevensii
Lineage: Bacteria; Pseudomonadati; Pseudomonadota; Gammaproteobacteria; Oceanospirillales; Halomonadaceae
Description: partial 16S ribosomal RNA
Rfam family: Bacterial small subunit ribosomal RNA
Source: RNAcentral
CCUACGGGGGGCUGCAGUGGGGAAUAUUGGACAAUGGGGGCAACCCUGAUCCAGCCAUGCCGCGUGUGUGAAGAAGGCCCUCGGGUUGUAAAGCACUUUCAGUGAGGAAGAACGCCUGGUGGUUAAUACCCAUCAGGAAAGACAUCACUCACAGAAGAAGCACCGGCUAACUCCGUGCCAGCAGCCGCGGUAAUACGGAGGGUGCGAGCGUUAAUCGGAAUUACUGGGCGUAAAGCGCGCGUAGGUGGCUUGAUAAGCCGGUUGUGAAAGCCCCGGGCUCAACCUGGGAACGGCAUCCGGAACUGUCAAGCUAGAGUGCAGGAGAGGAAGGUAGAAUUCCCGGUGUAGCGGUGAAAUGCGUAGAGAUCGGGAGGAAUACCAGUGGCGAAGGCGGCCUUCUGGACUGACACUGACACUGAGGUGCGAAAGCGUGGGUAGCAAACAGGAUUAGAUACCCGAGUAGUA